This 1756-nucleotide long non-coding RNA is filed under the name Homo sapiens (human). RNAcentral describes it as "HSALNT0141154". Lineage: Eukaryota; Metazoa; Chordata; Mammalia; Primates; Hominidae. The record is from RNAcentral.
UGACAAUGGAAGGGAGGGAAGCCAGGGUUUGAACAGCAGCAACAGUUACAGAGAUAACCCAUGGGCUCCUGAGAGCAGAGAUUGUGACUUACUCAUCUUUGAUGUAGCCAAGUUCUAACAAACCUAAAUGUGCAGUGUUUGACUACCUGAGAGCUGUCUAGAUUGAGCUGAAGGAAUUCAGAAAAGGGCAGUAUGAAUUCUUCAGCGUGGAGGCCGACUUUGUGGAGAGGAGGCAGGGCCUAUGUCGAUGCUGCUCGCUCUAUUUUCAGGGCUUGGCACCAUUCAUCCUCAAAAAGGCUACGGGUCCUCACUCAGAAUUAAAGAGGCUGUUCUGCAAAGCUGCCAUUCAUAGGGAGAACUGGCGAUGAAGUGUCUGUCAAAAGGACUGUUUUUACAAUUGGGACCUGCCUGUAGUGGUGAUGAGCCAUUUGUAAGAGAGGAUCAUGGAAUGAAUACGGGCAUUGAGUCAAGCAGUCUGUGUUCCACUGGCGGUGUGACCUGGGGCAGGCCAUUUCACCUCACUGAGCCUUAGUUUCCUCACCUGUAAAAUGUGAAAAAUAUCACCUUCCUUACCAGGCUUUUCUGAGGAUUUAAUGACAUCAUGUUCAGUGCCCAGUAUGGGUGGAUAAUACCCAGGAGUUUCCUCCUCUUCUCCUCCUAAGUUGACUUGAUGCCCCCCGCUGAAGAUCAUGGCUGAACUGGCUCAAUUCGGAUCCAGGACUCCUGGCUUUGUCUCUUCCCUAGUUGCCCACCACACCCAUGGACACCCUUAGGUAGUUUAUCCUUUUGGGACAACUGGAUUUAUUAGAAAAGGGUAUUCUGGGGUGGAAUAAGGCCCUUUUCAGUCCCCAUGGAGCCUUUUUGGAAGAUGAAGUUCUCAAACCCACAAGAGAAUUCAUAAGACGAGCACACCACCCACAGUUAGGUUUCCCUCUCAAGUGCUUUAUCUCCACGUGGGGCAAAUAGCUCUUUGUCUGCAUAUGUUAUUGGAGCUUUUGGAGUCCAGCCUUCAGAAGAGCUCUAAUUUUUGGAUUCAUAUCAGUUUAUUAGAGAAGCCUAGUUCUAAGGAUUAGCAAAUGGGUAGGUGCUCAGCCAGCCCAGAACAAGCAGAGCCAUGACAGAAGUUUCUGGAAUCUCACAGAGUCGGUGUCUUCAUGGACUCAGGGGGCCUAAAUCCAAUAGCCUGGAUUUGUCACUUUCCCUUAUUCCCUUAUCAAACUCUUCCCUUUUGGACAUCAGAGAAGGAAAGUACUUCCUGUAAGGGGGCAAUUUGCAAAGCUUCAUGGAAGUGGCAUUUGAGUGUGGCCUUAAAGGAUGUGUAGGAUUGGGAACCAUAGAUAUUUAGAGGAAGGCAUUCCUGGCAGAAGGAACAGCAGCAAAACACAGAAGUGGAAAUUAGUAGCAGCAUUAAUGGAGAAUAAUUUGGGGAAUAAGAUAUACAAAUGGAAUAAUAAAAAUAGCAUUAAUUAAACAUUGUGGGAGUCAUUCUGUAAGAUGGCCCCUGGUGAUCUCCGCCUCCUGUUCUUCAUGCCUUAUGUAACCGCUCUCCUUGAGUGUGGUCUGGAAUUACUGACUCACUUUCAAUGCACAGAAUGUAUCAGAAGUAAUGGGAUAUUCCUUCUGAGAAUAGAUUAUAAAAAAAGAGUGUGGCUUCCUUCCUGGCAUUUUCGCUUGCUCUCUCUUUAAUUGUGUGCUCCAAACAAAGCCAGCUGCCAUGUUGUGAGGAAGCCCUGUGUGGAGGACCACAUGGUGAGGA